AUAAAUUUGAAGGGAAAUAACGUAAAUGUUCCUUAGUUGAGGAUCCUAGAUAUUUAGUAGAUUAUGCCACUGUUUCAGUACAGGGAAAACGUCCUGUGCUCGUGUUAUUGCCAAUCAAGCGGGUGUCCCUUUACUAUAUGUUCC
Molecule: long non-coding RNA, 144 nt
Organism: Vigna angularis (adzuki bean)
Lineage: Eukaryota; Viridiplantae; Streptophyta; Magnoliopsida; Fabales; Fabaceae
Exons: 4
Source: RefSeq, a predicted model, not a curated record